GGGGUCCCUUUUUAUAGACGGAGUGCGUAACUAAUUGACAGCGACGUCUGUAACCGCCUGAUAGUGGGCUGUUCAGAGCCUUCUGAAGUUUGUUACGGAGAGUAGUGGCAUCAGGGGUCGUUCAGAGCCAUGUGAAGUUUGCUACAGAGAGUAGAGUGAUGUCCAUUGUCGCGACUUGUCAGAGAGUAGUGGAGCCACUCGGAAUCCACUGCAG
RNAcentral lists this long non-coding RNA (214 nucleotides) under Elaeis guineensis (African oil palm). RNAcentral's name for it is "long non-coding RNA (EGUI_LNC014626)". The record is from RNAcentral. Lineage: Eukaryota; Viridiplantae; Streptophyta; Magnoliopsida; Arecales; Arecaceae.